RNAcentral lists this ribosomal RNA (444 nucleotides) under uncultured bacterium. Its description in RNAcentral is "SSU rRNA". It matches the Rfam family "Bacterial small subunit ribosomal RNA", at positions 26 to 518 of the family's 1533-position model. The record is from RNAcentral.
AGAACGAACGCUGGCGGCAGGCCUAACACAUGCAAGUCGAACGCUCCAGCAAUGGAGAGUGGCAGACGGGUGAGUAACGCGUGGGAACCUACCAUACGGUCGGGAAUAGCUCAGGGAAACUUGGGGUAAUACCGGAUACGCCCUUCGGGGGAAAGAUUUAUCGCCGUUUGAUGGGCCCGCGUCGGAUUAGCUAGUUGGUGGGUAACGGCCUACCAAGGCAACGAUCCGUAGCUGGUCUGAGAGGAUGAUCAGCCACACUGGGACUGAGACACGGCCCAGACUCCUACGGGAGGCAGCAGUGGGGAAUAUUGGACAAUGGGCGCAAGCCUGAUCCAGCCAUGCCGCGUGAGUGACGAAGGUCUUCGGAUUGUAAAACUCUUUUGGCGGGACGAUAAUGACGGUACCCGCAGAAUAAGCCCCGGCUAACUUCGUGCCAGCAGCCGC